UUUAUGGAGAGUUUGAUCCUGGCUCAGGAUGAACGCUGGCGGCGUGCCUAAUACAUGCAAGUCGAGCGAACGGACGAGAAGCUUGCUUCUCUGAUGUUAGCGGCGGACGGGUGAGUAACACGUGGAUAACCUACCUAUAAGACUGGGAUAACUUCGGGAAACCGGAGCUAAUACCGGAUAAUAUUUUGAACCGCAUGGUUCAAAAGUGAAAGACGGUCUUGCUGUCACUUAUAGAUGGAUCCGCGCUGCAUUAGCUAGUUGGUAAGGUAACGGCUUACCAAGGCAACGAUGCAUAGCCGACCUGAGAGGGUGAUCGGCCACACUGGAACUGAGACACGGUCCAGACUCCUACGGGAGGCAGCAGUAGGGAAUCUUCCGCAAUGGGCGAAAGCCUGACGGAGCAACGCCGCGUGAGUGAUGAAGGUCUUCGGAUCGUAAAACUCUGUUAUUAGGGAAGAACAUAUGUGUAAGUAACUGUGCACAUCUUGACGGUACCUAAUCAGAAAGCCACGGCUAACUACGUGCCAGCAGCCGCGGUAAUACGUAGGUGGCAAGCGUUAUCCGGAAUUAUUGGGCGUAAAGCGCGCGUAGGCGGUUUUUUAA
Molecule: ribosomal RNA, 603 nt
Filed under: Staphylococcus aureus
Lineage: Bacteria; Bacillati; Bacillota; Bacilli; Caryophanales; Staphylococcaceae
Description: bacterial SSU rRNA
Rfam family: Bacterial small subunit ribosomal RNA
Source: RNAcentral